RNAcentral lists this ribosomal RNA (481 nucleotides) under Klebsiella oxytoca. RNAcentral's name for it is "bacterial SSU rRNA". It matches the Rfam family "Bacterial small subunit ribosomal RNA", at positions 1051 to 1532 of the family's 1533-position model. Lineage: Bacteria; Pseudomonadati; Pseudomonadota; Gammaproteobacteria; Enterobacterales; Enterobacteriaceae. The record is from RNAcentral.
GUCGUCAGCUCGUGUUGUGAAAUGUUGGGUUAAGUCCCGCAACGAGCGCAACCCUUAUCCUUUGUUGCCAGCGAUUCGGUCGGGAACUCAAAGGAGACUGCCAGUGAUAAACUGGAGGAAGGUGGGGAUGACGUCAAGUCAUCAUGGCCCUUACGAGUAGGGCUACACACGUGCUACAAUGGCAUAUACAAAGAGAAGCGACCUCGCGAGAGCAAGCGGACCUCAUAAAGUAUGUCGUAGUCCGGAUUGGAGUCUGCAACUCGACUCCAUGAAGUCGGAAUCGCUAGUAAUCGUGGAUCAGAAUGCCACGGUGAAUACGUUCCCGGGCCUUGUACACACCGCCCGUCACACCAUGGGAGUGGGUUGCAAAAGAAGUAGGUAGCUUAACCUUCGGGAGGGCGCUUACCACUUUGUGAUUCAUGACUGGGGUGAAGUCGUAACAAGGUAACCGUAGGGGAACCUGCGGUUGGAUCACCUCCUU